GUGUCAGCAGCCGCGGUAAUACAGAGGUCCCGAGCGUUGUUCGGAUUCACUGGGCGUAAAGGGUGCGUAGGUGGUGGCGUAAGUCGGAUGUGAAAUCUCGGAGCUCAACUCCGAAAAGGCAUUGGAAACUGCGUUGCUAGAGGGUUGGAGGGGGGACUGGAAUGCUUGGUGUAGCAGUGAAAUGCGUAGAUAUCAAGCGGAACACCAGUGGCGAAGGCGAGUCCCUGGACAACACCUGACACUGAGGCACGAAAGCUAGGGGAGCAAACAGGAUUAGAUACCCUUGUAGUCC
This 292-nucleotide ribosomal RNA is filed under the name uncultured bacterium. RNAcentral describes it as "partial 16S ribosomal RNA". It matches the Rfam family "Bacterial small subunit ribosomal RNA", at positions 505 to 796 of the family's 1533-position model. The record is from RNAcentral.